CGCCCCCAAGAAGAGCUCACCAGCAUUGGCAAUGUCUUUGAGGAGGAGAAGAAGGAUGAAGGGCCUCAGGUUCCAACUAUUGACUUGAAGGAUAUUGAGUCUGAGGACGAGGUGGUCCGGGAGAGAUGCCGGGAGGAGUUGAAGAAAGCUGCCAUGGAGUGGGGUGUGAUGCACCUUGUUAACCAUGGCAUCUCUGAUGACCUUAUCAACCGUGUUAAGGUUGCUGGAGAGACCUUUUUCAAUCUCCCCAUGGAGGAAAAGGAGAAGUAUGCUAAUGACCAGGCCUCCGGCAAGAUCGCUGGCUAUGGCAGCAAGCUUGCCAACAAUGCUAGUGGACAGCUUGAGUGGGAG
RNAcentral lists this long non-coding RNA (351 nucleotides) under Vitis vinifera (wine grape). RNAcentral describes it as "long non-coding RNA (VVIN_LNC000390)". Lineage: Eukaryota; Viridiplantae; Streptophyta; Magnoliopsida; Vitales; Vitaceae. The record is from RNAcentral.